AGAGUUUGAUCCUGGCUCAGAGUGAUCGCUGGCGGCGUGCUUAACACAUGCAAGUCGAGCGGGUUUCGGCAGCGUAUCGUCGGAACUAGCGGCAGACGGGUGAGUAAUACUUGGGCAAUCUGCCCUUGAGUGGGAAACAACCGGCCGAAAGGCUGGCUAAUGUCCCAUAAGACCACAGGAUGGCAUCAUCCAGGGGUCAAAGCUCCGUAAGGGGCGCUUGAGGAGGAGCCCGAGUCCUAUCAGCUAGUUGGUGAGGUAAUGGCUCACCAAGGCUUUGACGGGUAGCCGGCCUGAAAGGGUGAUCGGCCACACUGGCACUGAGACACGGGCCAGACUCCUACGGGAGGCAGCAGUGGGGAAUUUUGGACAAUGGGGGCAACCCUGAUCCAGCGACGCCGCGUGAAGGAUGAAGGUCUUCGGAUUGUAAACUUCUUUUAGAGGGGAUGAACGCCUGAGUGAAUAACUCAGGGUGACAGUACUCUUUGAAUAAGCCACGGCUAACUACGUGCCAGCAGCCGCGGUAAUACGUAGGUGGCAAGCGAUACUCGGAAUCACUAGGCGUAAAGCGCAGGUAGGCGGUUUGGUAAGUCUUUUGUGAAAGCUCCCGGCUUAACUGGGAGAGGUCAAGGGAAACUACCGGACUAGAGUGUGGUAGGGGAUACUGGAAUUCCUGGUGUAGCGGUGAAAUGCGUAGAUAUCAGGAGGAAUACCUAUGGCGAAAGCAGGUAUCUGGGCCAUCACUGACGCUGAGCUGCGAAAGCUAGGGGAGCAAACAGGAUUAGAUACCCUGGUAGUCCUAG
Molecule: ribosomal RNA, 800 nt
Filed under: uncultured bacterium
Lineage: Bacteria
Description: bacterial SSU rRNA
Rfam family: Bacterial small subunit ribosomal RNA
Source: RNAcentral